Molecule: ribosomal RNA, 468 nt
Filed under: uncultured bacterium
Lineage: Bacteria
Description: partial 16S ribosomal RNA
Rfam family: Bacterial small subunit ribosomal RNA
Source: RNAcentral
GACGAACGCUGGCGGCGUGCUUAACACAUGCAAGUCAAACGGAAAGGCCCUGCUUUUGUGGGGUGCUCGAGUGGCGAACGGGUGAGUAACACGUGAGUAACCUGCCCUUGACUUUGGGAUAACUUCAGGAAACUGGGGCUAAUACCGGAUAGGAGCUCCUGCUGCAUGGUGGGGGUUGGAAAGUUUCGGCGGUUGGGGAUGGACUCGCGGCUUAUCAGCUUGUUGGUGGGGUAGUGGCUUACCAAGGCUUUGACGGGUAGCCGGCCUGAGAGGGUGACCGGCCACAUUGGGACUGAGAUACGGCCCAGACUCCUACGGGAGGCAGCGGUGGGGAAUAUUGCACAAUGGGCGGAAGCCUGAUGCAGCAACGCCGCGUGCGGGAUGACGGCCUUCGGGUUGUAAACCGCUUUCGCCUGUGACGAAGCGUGAGUGACGGUAAUGGGUAAAGAAGCACCGGCUAACUACGUG